AUACGUAGGGAGCGAGCGUUGUCCGGAAUUACUGGGCGUAAAGGGAGCGUAGGCGGGAGUGGAAGUCAGAUGUGAAAUCCCUGGGCUCAACCCAUGGGGUGCAUUUGAAACUGAAUUUCUUGAGUGAAGUAGAGGAAAGCGGAAUUCCUGGUGUAGCGGUGAAAUGCGUAGAUAUCAGGAGGAACACCGGUGGCGAAGGCGGCUUACUGGGCUUUUACUGACGCUGAGGCUCGAAAGCGUGGGGAGCAAACAGGAUUAGAUACCCUGGUAGUCCACGCUGUAAACGAUGAUUACUAGGUGUGGGGGGACUGACCCCUUCCGUGCCGCAGUUAACACAAUAAGUAAUCCGCCUGGGAAGUACGGCCGCAAGGUUGAAACUCAAAUGAAUUGACGGGG
This 396-nucleotide ribosomal RNA is filed under the name uncultured bacterium. Its description in RNAcentral is "partial 16S ribosomal RNA". It matches the Rfam family "Bacterial small subunit ribosomal RNA", at positions 523 to 918 of the family's 1533-position model. The record is from RNAcentral.